RNAcentral lists this transfer RNA (68 nucleotides) under Lepidozona coreanica. RNAcentral's name for it is "tRNA-Cys". The record is from RNAcentral. Lineage: Eukaryota; Metazoa; Mollusca; Polyplacophora; Chitonida; Ischnochitonidae.
GACUUUGUAAUUGAAAUGACAAUAUUAAAUUGCAGAUUUAAAAGUACAUGUGUUAUAUGUUAAAGUCU